This 466-nucleotide ribosomal RNA is filed under the name uncultured bacterium. RNAcentral's name for it is "partial 16S ribosomal RNA". It matches the Rfam family "Bacterial small subunit ribosomal RNA", at positions 28 to 507 of the family's 1533-position model. The record is from RNAcentral.
GACGAACGCUGGCGGCGUGCUUAACACAUGCAAGUCGAACGAUGAAGCCCAGCUUGCUGGGUGGACUAGUGGCGAAAGGGUGUGUAACACGUGAGUAUCCUGUCCUCAACUCUGGGAUAUGCCUGGGAAACUGGGUCUAAUACCGGAUAGAGGCGUCCACCGCACGGUGGGUGUUGGAAAGAUUUACCGGUUUUGGAUGGACUCGCGGCUUAUCAGCUUGUUGGUGGGGUAAUGGCUCACCAAGGCGACGACGGGUAGCCGGCCUGAGAGGGUGACCGGCCACACUGGGACUGAGACACGGCCCAGACUCCUACGGGAGGCAGCAGUGGGGAAUAUUGCACAAUGGGCGGAAGCCUGAUGCAGCGACGCCGCGUGAGGGAUGACGGCCUUCGGGUUGUAAACCGCUUUCGGUAGGGAAGAAGCGAGAGUGACGGUACCGGGAAAAGAAGCACCGGCUAACUACGUG